This 95-nucleotide ribosomal RNA is filed under the name uncultured archaeon. Its description in RNAcentral is "partial 16S ribosomal RNA". The record is from RNAcentral.
CUCCCCCGUUGCUGACCCCAGGUUCGAUAGCGCCAAUUAGGCGCCACCUCGCCAAGAACCAGCUUCGGUGAAGCGACGGGCGGUGUGUGCAGGGA